This 637-nucleotide small RNA is filed under the name Pongo abelii (Sumatran orangutan). Its description in RNAcentral is "retained intron". Lineage: Eukaryota; Metazoa; Chordata; Mammalia; Primates; Hominidae. The record is from RNAcentral.
GAGCCUUUAUUCUGUCAUCUUUUGGCUCUUUAAAAAUCAUUGCAUAUUCCAUCUCUUUUAAAUUAUUGAUUAGAUAUAUGAAGAAUUUAUAAUAGCAAGUUAAGCCAUAAAAGUAAUCACCUUUUGGGAUAAAUAAAAGGAGAUUUGAAAAACAAUACUUAGCAUUCUAGAUUUAUUAGAUCCUGCAUCUUUUGUCUCUAUCUUUAAAUGGUUUUCACUUCCUUGCCUUUCCACUUGAGAUUCUUUUUUAAAUUGUCAGAAAAUAUGAACUGGUAGAUCCUGUUUAUUUUCAUUGACCAAGUCCUCUUUAUUUCAGAUUACUUUAUAUAGAGUUUUCAGUGGGCUCUAUUAUUUCAAUGAAUCUCUGAAUAAUAUGAAUGUUUUGUGUGUUUUUAAAUAGCUCAAGUAAUUCUGUAACCCAAAUUUUAAUUACAGUGCUAUCAUAUAUUUACUUGGCAUUAAAUCUUUCACAUAUGUAAUUAUUACAGACAUCACAGCGAUUUUCGUCAGUUGAUGAACAAGCAAAGCUUCAUAAGACUAUGUCUCAAGGAGAGAUUACCAAGUUGGCAGUGAGACAGAAGGCUUCAGAUUCAGAUAUAAGACCUCAGAGAGCUAAGAUGAGAUUCUGGGCCAAAGG